AAAAAGAUAAGCUAAUAUAAGCUUUUGGGUUCAUACCCCAACUAUAAAGAAAUUCUUUUCUUUUUA
This 66-nucleotide transfer RNA is filed under the name Pyrocoelia praetexta. RNAcentral describes it as "tRNA-Met". The record is from RNAcentral. Lineage: Eukaryota; Metazoa; Arthropoda; Insecta; Coleoptera; Lampyridae.